GUGGGGAAUAUUGGACAAUGGGCGAAAGCCUGAUCCAGCAAUGCCGCGUGAGUGAUGAAGGCCUUAGGGUUGUAAAGCUCUUUUACCAGGGAUGAUAAUGACAGUACCUGGAGAAUAAGCUCCGGCUAACUCCGUGCCAGCAGCCGCGGUAAUACGGAGGGAGCUAGCGUUGUUCGGAAUUACUGGGCGUAAAGCGCACGUAGGCGGCUACUCAAGUCAGAGGUGAAAGCCCGGGGCUCAACCCCGGAACUGCCUUUGAAACUAGGUAGCUAGAAUCUUGGAGAGGUCAGUGGAAUUCCGAGUGUAGAGGUGAAAUUCGUAGAUAUUCGGAAGAACACCAGUGGCGAAGGCGACUGACUGGACAAGUAUUGACGCUGAGGUGCGAAAGCGUGGGGAGCAAACAGGAUUAGAUACCCUAGUAGUCC
Molecule: ribosomal RNA, 425 nt
Filed under: uncultured bacterium
Lineage: Bacteria
Description: partial 16S ribosomal RNA
Rfam family: Bacterial small subunit ribosomal RNA
Source: RNAcentral